GUUUUUAAUAGAUUGACCGACUACGAAUCCGUAGGUCGCAAGUUCGAAUCUUGCCGGGCGCGCCA
RNAcentral lists this transfer RNA (65 nucleotides) under Desulfonema limicola. RNAcentral's name for it is "tRNA-Arg". Lineage: Bacteria; Pseudomonadati; Thermodesulfobacteriota; Desulfobacteria; Desulfobacterales; Desulfococcaceae. The record is from RNAcentral.